Molecule: ribosomal RNA, 279 nt
Filed under: uncultured bacterium
Lineage: Bacteria
Description: partial 16S ribosomal RNA
Rfam family: Bacterial small subunit ribosomal RNA
Source: RNAcentral
UGCCAGCAGCCGCGGUAAUACGGAGGAUCCAAGCGUUAUCCGGAAUUAUUGGGUUUAAAGGGUCCGCAGGCGGUUUGUUAAGUCAGAGGUGAAAUCCUACCGCUCAACGGUAGAACUGCCUUUGAUACUGGCAAACUUGAGUUAUUGUGAAGUAAUUAGAAUGUGUAGUGUAGCGGUGAAAUGCUUAGAUAUUACACAGAAUACCGAUUGCGAAGGCAGAUUACUAACAAUUAACCGACGCUCAGGGACGAAAGCGUGGGUAGCGAACAGGAUUAGAUA